This 940-nucleotide long non-coding RNA is filed under the name Homo sapiens (human). Its description in RNAcentral is "HSALNT0305993". The record is from RNAcentral. Lineage: Eukaryota; Metazoa; Chordata; Mammalia; Primates; Hominidae.
GUUAAUGCUCAACAAGGGUGAGCUACUGUCGAGAUACAUAACAUGUAAAUGUUGAAUCUGCAUCUCACUUGAAAUGGUUGGGUUUGGAGAAACGGAUAGUCAAGCUUAUUGGAAUUAUUGUUAAAAAAGUAAUUUGAAGGCCUUCCCUGACUUAAAGUGGAUGCUGCUUUGGAAAGCACUGGAAAAAUGGAUCCUGUCUUUCUUAGCCAAGGACUGGUCUCUUUUCUCCAAUGUGUCCCUAACAGAGUGGUGAGGCUGGCUCUUCCCACCAGUACAGGAAGAUCAUUCCUUAAAAGAAAUAGCCAUAUGGCUUAUAAGUGUUCUUUCCUGUAUGAAGCCCAAGCUGUCCACUUGGAGAGACAUCUGGCCAGCCCCCCGUUGUUCCAGCCAUCCCCAGUUCAGGCAUCAGACAUGUGGUGAAGAAGCCAUCCUAGAUGCCCAGCCCCAGCUACCAUCUGAUGCAACCACACUGCUCACCCCGAGCAAGAACUGCCUGCAGGAGCCUAGUAUUAUCCUCUCUCACAGAACCAUGGCAGGGAAUAAUAAAUUGUUGUUUGAAGCCACUCUGUUUUGUGGUGGUUUGUUAGGCGGCAAUAGGAAACUAGAACACCAUAGCUUUUUUUUUUUUUUUUUUUUUUAGAAAAUAACUUGAUAUUCAUAAGCACAGCUUUUUAAGCUGCUUUUAUUAUUUUUCCCUUUAUACGAGUGCAUUCUGCAACAUAAGGAGAUUUCUAUCUCAGCCCUGAACAAGAUUUAUGAUCUUGAUCAAGUCUCUUUAUAAUAAUGUCACAGAACUUUACUUGCUUCAAUUCUAAUAUGAAGGAUUGAACUAGUUAAUCACUAAGGUCCACUCUAGUUCCAAAAUUGUGGCAUUCUCUUCUAACUAUCAGGGAAAAAUUGACUUAUUCUUUGUUAAGUUGUAGCUUGCAGUAAAGUUUUU